ACACGGAGGGUGCAAGCGUUACUCGGAAUCACUGGGCGUAAAGCGCGCGCAGGCGGCUAUUUAAGUUGGAUGUGAAAGCCUACGGCUCAACCGUAGAACUGCAUCCAAAACUAUUUAGCUAGAGUGUGGGAGAGGAAGAUGGAAUUAGUUGUGUAGGGGUAAAAUCCGUAGAGAUAACUAAGAAUACCAAAAGCGAAGGCAAUCUUCUGGAACACUACUGACGCUGAGGCGCGAAAGCGUGGGGAGCAAACGGGAUUAGAAACCCUAGUAGUCC
RNAcentral lists this ribosomal RNA (274 nucleotides) under uncultured bacterium. RNAcentral describes it as "partial 16S ribosomal RNA". It matches the Rfam family "Bacterial small subunit ribosomal RNA", at positions 523 to 796 of the family's 1533-position model. The record is from RNAcentral.